This 425-nucleotide ribosomal RNA is filed under the name Hyalinobatrachium kawense group sp. ABGD cluster 12. RNAcentral's name for it is "partial large subunit ribosomal RNA". It matches the Rfam family "Archaeal large subunit ribosomal RNA", at positions 1926 to 2490 of the family's 2987-position model. Lineage: Eukaryota; Metazoa; Chordata; Amphibia; Anura; Centrolenidae. The record is from RNAcentral.
CUUGAAUAAAUAUAAGAGGUCCAGCCUGCCCAGUGACUUUGUUCAACGGCCGCGGUAUCCUAACCGUGCGAAGGUAGCGUAAUCACUUGUUCUUUAAAUAAGGACUAGUAUGAAUGGCACCACGAAGGUUACACUGUCUCCUCUCUCUAAUCAGUGAAACUAAUCUCCCCGUGAAGAAGCGGGGAUAAAAAUAUAAGACGAGAAGACCCUAUGGAGCUUCAAACUAAAAGGCACUUGCCCACACAUUAAACCAAAUUUCAGAAAAUCAAUGACACCCAGGCAACAUGACCCUUAGUUUUAGGUUGGGGUGACCGCGGAGCAAAAAAUAACCUCCACAUUGAAAGGAGCCCACUCCUUAGCCCAGAGCCACACCUCCAAGCACCAAUAAAAAGACAUUAAUUGACCCAAUAUUUUGAUCAACGAAC